GAUGAAGAACGUAGCGAAAUGCGAUACGUAAUGUGAAUUGCAGAAUUCAGUGAAUCAUCGAGUCUUUGAACGCACAUUGCGCCCCCUGGUAUUCCGGGGGGCAUGCCUGUCCGAGCGUCAUUGCUGCCCUCAAGCACGGCUUGUGUGUUGGGCCUCCGUCCUCCUCCCGGGGGACGGGCCCGAAAGGCAGCGGCGGCACCGCGUCCGGUCCUCGAGCGUAUGGGGCUUCGUCACCCGCUCUUGUAGGCCCGGCCGGCUCUUGCCGACACAUCAAUCUUUUUUCCAGGUUGACCUCGGAUCAGGUAGGGAUACCCGCUGAACUUAAGCAUAUCAAUAAGCGGAGGA
This 345-nucleotide unclassified non-coding RNA is filed under the name soil metagenome. RNAcentral describes it as "partial contains 5.8S ribosomal RNA, internal transcribed spacer 2, and large subunit ribosomal RNA". The stretch from base 1 to 120 matches the Rfam family "5.8S ribosomal RNA", at positions 35 to 154 of the family's 154-position model. The record is from RNAcentral.